CCGCAGCCCGACUUGAGCGGAAAUCCUUUUUUGCUUGUACUUAAGUUCAACUUACCGGGAAAUCUUGAGCAAAAAAGAUUGGGAGCGGAAGACGGAUAAAGC
Molecule: small RNA, 102 nt
Filed under: Epilithonimonas zeae
Lineage: Bacteria; Pseudomonadati; Bacteroidota; Flavobacteriia; Flavobacteriales; Weeksellaceae
Description: Chryseobacterium zeae Flavo-1 RNA
Source: RNAcentral